RNAcentral lists this ribosomal RNA (974 nucleotides) under epibiont metagenome. RNAcentral's name for it is "bacterial SSU rRNA". It matches the Rfam family "Bacterial small subunit ribosomal RNA", at positions 302 to 1259 of the family's 1533-position model. The record is from RNAcentral.
GCCCCCCCCCCUGUGGCCUUGGACACCCGGGUCCAAAACUCUCUCCCGGGGAGGCCACCAAUGGGGGAAAAUUGGGCCAAAAGGCGGCAAACCCUUGUGCCCCCCGGUAACCCCCCUGUGGAAGAUUUACCCCCUUUCCGGGGUGUUAAACCCCCCCUUUUGCCAAAGGGAAAGAAUGGAUUGCCGGGUCCCUUCCGGAAUAAGCCCCGGCCUAACUUUCGGCCCAACAGCCCCCGGUAAUACCGAAGGGGUCAAGCGUUACUCCGGAUCACCUGGGCGUAAAGCGCGCCAGGCGGCUGAAUAAGUUAGAUGUGAAAAGCCUACGGCUCAACCGUGGAACUGCAUCUAAAACUGUUCAAGCUAGAGUCUGGGAGAGGCAGGUGGAAUUAGUGGUGUAGGGGUAAAUCCGCAGAGAUCACUAGGAAUACCGGAAGCGAAGGCGACCUGCUGGAACAGUACUGACGCUGAGGCGCGAAAGCUGGGGAGCAAACAGGAUUAGAUACCCUGGUAGUCCACGCCCUAAACGAUGGAUGCUAGUCGUUGGGGUGCCAGUCACCUCAGUGAUGCAGCUAACGCGAUAAGCAUCCCGCCUGGGGAGUACGGCCGCAAGGCUAAAACUCAAAGGAAUAGACGGGGACCCGCCACAAGUGGUGGAGCAUGUGGUUUAAUUCGAAGAUACGCGAAGAACCUUACCUGGCCUUGACAUCCCGAGAACCCUCCAGAGAUGGAGGGGUGCCCCUUUUGGGGAACUCGGUGACAGGGUGCUGCACGGCUGUCGUCAGCUCGUGUCGUGAGAUGUUGGGUUAAGUCCCGCAACGAGCGCAACCCUCGCCCUUAGUUGCUAACAGGUUAAGCUGAGCACUCUAAGGGGACUGCCUGGGCAACCAGGAGGAAGGUGAGGACGACGUCAAGUCAUCAUGUCAAGGCGAUCCGCCGCUAAUUCAAUUCGCCCUUUCAUCGAUCGAUCAUCUGCC